GAGAAAUUAACAUUCCAAACACGAAGCGUUUAUGCUAAACAAGCUUGGGUUCGGGAUAUCAGAGAAGCUUUAGUUAAUUUGGGUAUAAAAGAGACAGAUAUUAUGGCCGAACGUCGAAUCAAGAAACAAACUAGUCCUCCCCCACCUUCAACUCCACGUAAAAAGUCUGAGAGUAGCGCUAGCAGUAGUAAACUUGAUGAUGUUGAUCAACAGAGUGGCUCCGAAUCAGAUCGUACAAUUAAAUCAGACGAUUACCAGUCUUUAACAUCGUAUGACAGUGAUUAUAAUACAGAUAUCAGUAGUUAUCAUACGGCACCAGAGUUUGAGGAUGGAACAUCACGACCCAUAUUUAAACGGAG
This is a long non-coding RNA of Patella vulgata (common limpet), 359 nucleotides long. RefSeq lists it as uncharacterized. Lineage: Eukaryota; Metazoa; Mollusca; Gastropoda; Patellidae. The record is from RefSeq and is a predicted model, not a curated record. The transcript has 3 exons.